AUGGUUCUGAAGACCGAGCUCUGCCGUUUUAGCGGCCAGAAGAUUUACCCAGGGAAGGGUAUCAGGUUCAUUCGUUCGGAUUCGCAGGUUUUCCUCUUUGCCAACUCAAAAUGCAAGCGCUACUUCCACAACCGCCUCAAGCCUGCAAAGCUUUGCUGGACAGCAAUGUACAGGAAGCAGCACAAGAAGGACAUCCAUGCUGAGGCUGCCAAGAAGAGGCGCCGCACCACCAAGAAGCCGUACUCACGGUCGAUUGUUGGUGCCACUCUGGAAGUUAUCCAGAAGAAGAGGGCUGAGAAGCCUGAAGUCCGUGAUGCUGCCCGAGAAGCCGCUCUCGAGAUCAAGGAGCGGAUCAAGAAGACCAAGGAUGAGAAGAAGGCCAAGAAGGCAGAGGUGACCAAGUCCCAGAAGUCACAGGGGGGCAAGGGCGCCGUGCAGAAGGGUUCCAAGGGCCCAAAGAUUGGCGGCGGCGGCGGGAAGCGUUGA
Molecule: ribosomal RNA, 486 nt
Filed under: Triticum aestivum (bread wheat)
Lineage: Eukaryota; Viridiplantae; Streptophyta; Magnoliopsida; Poales; Poaceae
Description: partial small subunit ribosomal RNA
Source: RNAcentral